AUCAUCUCAUAAAGCAUCUCUUAGAGAACUAUAAAAUUGUAACAGAAUAUCAGAAAGCUAAGAGAGCAUGCUCCCAAAGAAACUGUUUGGGUUCUCUGGAGAAUAGUGUUACAGGUUCAGAGAAGAAGGAAAUGUCACUGCAAUAACCCAACUUCUGCAUCAGUGAUGCAUUUUCCAUAUGAAAUCAUGAAGACUAUAUCAAGAAAUAAUAGUUCUUAAGUCAAGCACAAAGAAUUGCUGCCUUUUGUAUGCACUGAGAUUUUGAUGUCACCUUGCUUUGUAGUCCUUCCGCAUGUAAAUGAGGAGACAAGGUUUUAAUUCUGAAUAAGCCCAUCUAUUUUGGGAUUUCUUCUGCGGUAAAUGACUAGGGAUUCUAACAGCAAAGCUUCCUCCACUGCAUACCGUCUUAAUCAUCUGCAGACCAGUGUACGUAGGGGUGAGCUCAAGCCCCAUCUUCCAUCAUGCAACAGUUACGAGCACAUAUGGUAGAGAGUGCCUUAUAACUGCAAAAUCCCAAAGGUACAUGAUGUUAAAGGAUUCAAGCUAGAGAGUGGAAGGGUAAGUAAGGCAGGAAGCAGGUUUCCCUGUCAAUUGUGUAUCUCAACGAACUGCUUAACGUAUCUUUCUGUCUGCAAGUGACAGUCUACAUACCUCUUCUUGCAGUAGGUGACUCCAAACAGUAGUUCCGACAAAUGCUUAAAUGGAAAUGGGGUAAGGGCCUUCACAUAGCAGCUGUACAGCUUAAAGACUGUCAAAUGGUCUUUAAGUAUUAUCUACAGAUAACAUUCCAUAGGACUGCUUAGCAGAUGCAACUCACAGAGGUAUUUCUUAGUAAGCACACUGAUGUAGCUUGAGUUCUGGUGGAGCUCUGAUGAUAAAAGGACUCUGUCUUUAUCAGUACCAUAAAAGGUUAUUGACACAGCCUCCAGUCUGUUUUAAAACUCAUAUUUCAGUGAAGACUAUUCAUUUGGAUCAACAUGAACUGUUCUGGAUAUCUAAAGGGUCUUCUCACCAAUUUUAUAAAUAGAGAACCACUUUGAUCCUGAGGAUGAGAAAGAUGGUACGUGCAGGAAGUAAGUUAGUGAGGCCAUAAGAACAAAAAAAAUUCGACUCCUUAGCAGUUGGUGAACAUGCAUGAAGACAAAUAUUAUUUCAUCUUUACUCACCCUUUUGUCAUAAUAUGGCUAAAACUUCAAGAUCAGAGGAAUGAAAAAGAAAAUGCAGACAAUUCUUCCUAACCAGAGAACAAGGAAGAUAUUCAGUAAACGUGUAGGGGUAAAAAGGGCCAACACUUUUCUUCCAUAUUUGAAGCCAAAUUCCAUUCUGGAAUUGUGAUCUAGGACUUUGGACCACAUAUCCCACUCAGUCUAGUAUGAAAAAGUCAGCCUUUCUGCCGAAGUAUCAAUGAUAACUAGGAGAUGGAUCAGCAAUAUGUGGAAUUGUCUUUAAAUAUACUAGUUCACAAAGAUCAGCCAAAAGAGGUGGAGGGACACUACACCACCUCACAGACUGAAGUUAAACAGUUGUGGUUUUGUUUGUCAGUGCACUGCUGUAAUGUGUCUUUUGAUAGGGUUGCAGCAUCUCUUCCACAAUUCAUGCUGUUCUGGCUUCUGUGAAGUUUGGGAACAACCAGCCUUGCACAGUUAUGCCCGUGAGUACUUUGCCAGUGCCAUAUACCAUGACUGAUGAGGUAAGUGAGAUCAAAAAGCAUCCCCUUGCGGGCUGCAAGGACCAUAGUAAUGUUGUAUCUUAUGAGACCAUAUUCGGGGGUGGGGGGAAUAUUCAUCAUGCAUAGAUGAGUCUGAAGGUGUAAACCAUAUAGUGGGGAAGCCAGACUUGAAAACUUUAUAGGGAUAGAUUGGCUUGAGGCAUCAUACAGAGGCAUCAUGAUGACUUAGCAAGGUUAGGCAGAUUUGUCAUUGUGAUAGGAAGAAGACCCACACACGCAUGUUAUGGCAGUCCAACACCUAUCUUAAAAUGGAAGGAUUCUUGCAGGUUCUAAGGAACGUGUGGAGUAGACUCUGCCUCUUGCUUGUCCCUUCACCAGCCAGCUGUUGAGAUCGGGAGAGGGGUACGGAGUUCUAUCCAGGGAAGAUCAGCACCACUGCCAAUAUUUAAGUGCUGUGGGAAGUCUGAGUUGAUCUUUAUUAAUCUGCAAGACAAAGGUGAUACUAUGUAGGUGAUAUACUUCAGCAAUGUAGAAAUGUGCCUCAUGAAGUUUCAUUGUGCAAGGAAAGAGGAGGAUGUCAAAGCAGAUAAAUAGUAUUUGUGUUUGUUUACAUGAUCCUUCCUUUUUGAAAUGUUUCUCUUGAGAAUUUGAUAACUAGUGCAGGUGAAAGCUGGUAGGCGGAAGAUAUUCCUUCUGUGGAAGUCUUCCACGCAGGGUGAGUCAGCAGUGGCAACUUGAAUAAAAACUUGAUGCUGCCAAGUAGGGGUGUGAAGAUUCUGGUGGACUGGGACUGAAGCCCCAUGCACACGUUGAGCUAGUGCCAAAAAAAGGUGGCGAGGGUCCUGUUGCCAUCAAACUAUGGUUCAGAGGGCCAGUUAUUUUUUGCUUGAAAUUGUAUGGUAUCCCAGUAGAAUUGUUUUCUCCUUGUCCAAAACUAGAAAGAAUACUAUUUUGAGGCACCAAGUCUCACUUGUGAGAUGGAAAAGGCAGAGGAAGCAGAUCUUUGAGAUUAUAGAAGCGUGUGCUGAUGACUAGUCAAACGCCCCAGACAAUACUACAUACUGUUGCAUUUUGAAAUAAUAUGGGCUAACAUACUAAUAUUUAACAUGGAGGGGUUGAGGAUUCUGAUCUGGUAACCUGUCAUAAGGUCAAUGAGAGAUGAUUCGAAAGUGUAAGGCUCCCAAUACUGAACUAUGUGUUGAGCCUGCCCUGAUCUUUGUGUCACUGCUCUGAAGUACCGUAUCAAGGAAUGGCAUGCAUUCUGUGCCAGAGCCUGGACAGUCUGUAGUGAAAACUCCUCAUACCUUCUUACUGAGAAUAAUUGAGAGGAUCUAGAACACUGACGAACCCUGCCUGCAUGUUAGUAAUUUGAGGUGGAGACACCAUCUUCAGUAUGGGCACUAGGAAAUGAAGCUCAGCAGUUCUUUGAAAUUCUGUCGAGAAUCUGAGGAGCAGGGAGGCCUUUCUGCAUUAGGCUAAAGUGGAUCAGAAGCUUUUCAUUUCAAAUCUGUUAGGAGAUCGGGUCCUGGCACCAUAGCACACUGUCGUGAUUGAUUCAGGCUGUGCUAUGAGUCCUUGGUCAAUAGGUUGUGGCAAUCAGUGAUGCUGCUGCUGUCUUUUUAAUGAAAGAAUUUUGGAACUGCCACUUCCUGUUUUUAUCAGUGUGAAGUUUAAGACCUCAUACCUUAUGGAUGGAGUGUUUUUACCAAAUGUGCCCUUUGCACAGGGCAGGCAGAGCUGGAAGAUGAAUCUCAAGAACAAGUCAUGUAAGUAGAGCUUACUAGAGAGAAUAAAGCUUGAGUUUAAACUACAAAAAGAUGGCUAAAUGAUACAAAUAUCAGUAAGGAACACUGCAUUAUUGAAGGGAUGUGCAGCUACGGAAUGCUGUAGUCCACCUGGCAGAAAAAAGAAACUGGGAAAGUGCCAGACUUACUUGUGCAUCAGACACGUGAGGGUAUGGACACCAUCAAGUUCUCUGUGGAAAACUUGUCUCCAGUUAUAAAGUAUUUGUGCAGCUGCUGGGCAGAUACACAGUGGAUUAUCGCUUAAAAGAUAAAGAAACGUUUUCUCUCAUAAAUGAGACUUUUAUUAUACUUCUUAUUAGCUUCUUGACAAUAUUUAUCAUUUCUAGUCAUUUUUAUACUUUGCGCCCUAAUGUGUAUGAUUUAGUAUGCUGCUCCCUCUUUAGUAUCUUUCUAUCACAAGCUGAAUUCCAGUGCAACAACAUUAACUUUAAUCAGCAUGUUGUAAGACUUCUGGGACUGAUGGUAGGAUCGCUUAAGCGAUGUAACUGGAGAGUAGUUCCUCACAGGCAAGUACACAAAUGGCCAGAUGGCCUCUAUAGUUCAUAAAAUCUUUUUUCUUUUUUAUUGGAAAUUGAUGUUACUGGGCCUAUCUGAUCCUAAAGAUCUAUUUCUACACUGAGUGCACUGCACAAAUGUUAGCUGUUUUAAUAGCUUCUGUUUUGUUAAGAGAUCAGCAUACUGGAUGGUCCCUGAUGGGGGGGAGGGAAAGCACUUUGCCUAUUCUACUGGAUUUCCUCAGCAAAGUUACUUAAGCUUUCUGGACCUUAAUUCACUUUCUACAAGUAAGUAAUGACAGGUGUAUCUAUUUCUGAUUUCCUAGUCAUAAAUUUAUUGUAGGACUAACUGCUGUUUGAGGCAAGCAAACACAGUAGUGCUAGAGAAAAUGUAAGAAUUAAUUGGCAAGUUGUUUUGAAGAAAGCUUUACUCAGUGGAUGGUUGUUACAGAUGGGCAAAGAGGAUCAUACCUACUCUUGACUGUUUGCUUUUUACUACAUGAGGGACGUGUUCUGUACGAUGGGCAAAGGCAAGGGUUUGUCUCAGGCUGGGCUAGCUCAAAGUUGGGGUUUUUCUUAAGCAUGUGGGUGCAGCUGCCUCACAGACAUGUAUUGCAGUAAAACCCUCCAGAUCUCGAAUAUGGCUGUAAGUCUAAAAAUAAUACGUAACAAAGGGUGUCCUUUGCAGGGAGAGCCAGAAAUAACUUGCUUUUGCUUUGUCAAAAUGUAAGGCUAUUAUCAGUUAAUUUAAAAGCAGCAGCCUGACCCAGAGACCACGCAAGAGCUAACUUUCAAGCAAAUUCUCUACGUACGAAUCUCGAGCUUGGGCUUCCUCCAAAGAAAUAAUAAAUACCACUCGCUUG
Long non-coding RNA from Pygoscelis adeliae (Adelie penguin), 4831 nucleotides. RefSeq lists it as uncharacterized. Lineage: Eukaryota; Metazoa; Chordata; Aves; Sphenisciformes; Spheniscidae. The transcript is spliced from 5 exons. The record is from RefSeq and is a predicted model, not a curated record.